AUUGAACGCUGGCGGCAGGCUUAACACAUGCAAGUCGAGCGGGGGAAGGUAGCUUGCUACUGGACCUAGCGGCGGACGGGUGAGUAAUGCUUAGGAAUCUGCCUAUUAGUGGGGGACAACAUAUCGAAAGGGAUGCUAAUACCGCAUACGUCCUACGGGAGAAAGCAGGGGAUCUUCGGAACUCGCGCUAACAUAUGAGCCUAAGUCGGAUUAGCUAGUUGGUGGGGUAAAGGCCUAACAAGGCGACGAUCUGUAGCGGGUCUGAGAGGAUGAUCCGCCACACUGGGACUGAGACACGGCCCAGACUCCUACGGGAGGCAGCAGUGGGGAAUAUUGGACAAUGGGGGGAACCCUGAUCCAGCCAUGCCGCGUGUGUGAAGAAGGCCUUAUGGUUGUAAGGCACUUUAAGCGAGGAGGAGGCUACUCUAGUUAAUACCUAGGGAUAGUGGACGUUACUCGCAGAAUAAGCACCGGCUAACUCUGUGCCAGCAGCCGCCGUAA
This 501-nucleotide ribosomal RNA is filed under the name uncultured bacterium. Its description in RNAcentral is "partial 16S ribosomal RNA". It matches the Rfam family "Bacterial small subunit ribosomal RNA", at positions 30 to 523 of the family's 1533-position model. The record is from RNAcentral.